RNAcentral lists this ribosomal RNA (812 nucleotides) under uncultured bacterium. RNAcentral's name for it is "bacterial SSU rRNA". It matches the Rfam family "Bacterial small subunit ribosomal RNA", at positions 77 to 873 of the family's 1533-position model. The record is from RNAcentral.
AUGACGUUGGGAAAGCGAGCGGCGGAUGGGUGAGUAACACGUGGGGAACCUGCCCCUAAGUCUGGGAUACCAUUUGGAAACAGGUGCUAAUACCGGAUAAUAAAGCAGAUCGCAUGAUCAGCUUUUGAAAGGCGGCGUAAGCUGUCGCUAAGGGAUGGCCCCGCGGUGCAUUAGCUAGUUGGUAAGGUAACGGCUUACCAAGGCGACGAUGCAUAGCCGAGUUGAGAGACUGAUCGGCCACAUUGGGACUGAGACACGGCCCAAACUCCUACGGGAGGCAGCAGUAGGGAAUCUUCCACAAUGGACGCAAGUCUGAUGGAGCAACGCCGCGUGAGUGAAGAAGGUUUUCGGAUCGUAAAGCUCUGUUGUUGGUGAAGAAGGAUAGAGGUAGUAACUGGCCUUUAUUUGACGGUAAUCAACCAGAAAGUCACGGCUAACUACGUGCCAGCAGCCGCGGUAAUACGUAGGUGGCAAGCGUUGUCCGGAUUUAUUGGGCGUAAAGCGAGCGCAGGCGGAAAAAUAAGUCUAAUGUGAAAGCCCUCGGCUUAACCGAGGAACUGCAUCGGAAACUGUUUUUCUUGAGUGCAGAAGAGGAGAGUGGAACUCCAUGUGUAGCGGUGGAAUGCGUAGAUAUAUGGAAGAACACCAGUGGCGAAGGCGGCUCUCUGGUCUGCAACUGACGCUGAGGCUCGAAAGCAUGGGUAGCGAACAGGAUUAGAUACCCUGGUAGUCCAUGCCGUAAACGAUGAGUGCUAAGUGUUGGGAGGUUUUCCGCCUCUCAGUGCUGCAGCUAACGCAUUAAGCACUCCGCC